AGGUUUGCCUGUAUAUGUCUUUCAGAACAGAUUUCUUCUUAUUCUAUUUAAUCGCUUUAGUUUCUAGUUACUAGUUUCUAUCUGGGUCCUUUGAAAAGCAUAUAACAAGUUAUAAAGAUCUUGAAGAUAUAUUACGUUGAUGAAUUUAAUCAUUUUCGUACAAUUUGUUCAUACAUGUAUCACCAUGUUAUAAUAUAUGUGAUGACGGCAUCUACAUUUUCCUUUUUAAACUAUAUUUGUUUGUGGGUUUUGCAGGAUGCAAUACAAAUAGACGAGGACCUCCUACAAAAUAGUGCCAGAGCCCUGGAAACAUUAGUUUCCGUAGGAAUGAGGAUGGGAGUCUCCAAAAAGGAAAUACUUCAAACUGAGUUACCAAGCUUGGAAGAUUGUGUUAUAGCAGCUUGAAUAAGGUGAGCUAAGGCUUAGUAGAUACUUCAAACUGAGUUACCAAGCUUGGAAGAUUGUGUUAUAGCAGCUUGAAUAAGGUGAGCUAAGCUAGUUUAUUUUUGAAAACUUUGUAAAUUGUACUAAUUUGGAUAUGUAUUUGAUUUCUUAUAUUUCUCAAUAUAAGUUCUGCUUUCUUUAUUUCAUGGCCCCUAUGAUUUCCUCUGUUUGCCUUACCUUGAUAUCCUGCCCUUUUUAAUAAUCUUUUCAAGCAUUCUAUUUAGUAGCUGGCACCUCCCUGAGCUCCCUAGGGUUGGCAUCCUAUCAGAUAUCUCACUUGAGUUGUAACCAUCUGUUCUGCCUUGUGAUAUAUAAAGCCUGCCAAGGAAAUUCAAGCAGUGGUACUUUGUAUGAAUUUCUAGUAUUUUGCCUCUUUUAUGUCCCAAUAUAGCAUUUAUAAGUUAUUCUCAAAACGAAAAAAUAGCAUUUACAACACAUUUACCCUUAUGAUAGAUAUAUGGGAAUUUGUUUUCUUUACAAUCGUCAUUAAUAUGCUUCCACCGAUCCAUGUAGGGACACAAAAUUAACAAUAUAUUUUUAUGAUAGAUACGUGGCUAUUCUUUUUAACUUAUCGAAGUUUGGUUGCAGGUAGCCUUUGUAGCAAUUGGUGCAACCAUGGUUGGUAGCAUCACUUUUCUGAAGAACACGGGUGACUUUGUCAAAAAAGGAGAUGAGGUUAGAAGUUCCUAAAUAAUGUUGCUCUUGUUGUGGUUCUCUCAAAUUUGUCUUUGCUUCUAAUUGACAUUUAUUCAUUUUAAUUUACAGUUUGGAUAUUUCUCAUUUGGUGGGAGCACAGUAAUUUGUGUAUUUGAAAAGGUUUGCCUGUAUAUGUCUUUCAGAACAGAUUUCUUCUUAUUCUAUUUAAUCGCUUUAGUUUCUAGUUACUAGUUUCUAUCUGGGUCCUUUGAAAAGCAUAUAACAAGUUAUAAAGAUCUUGAAGAUAUAUUACGUUGAUGAAUUUAAUCAUUUUCGUACAAUUUGUUCAUACAUGUAUCACCAUGUUAUAAUAUAUGUGAUGACGGCAUCUACAUUUUCCUUUUUAAACUAUAUUUGUUUGUGGGUUUUGCAGGAUGCAAUACAAAUAGACGAGGACCUCCUACAAAAUAGUGCCAGAGCCCUGGAAACAUUAGUUUCCGUAGGAAUGAGGAUGGGAGUCUCCAAAAAGGAAAUACUUCAAACUGAGUUACCAAGCUUGGAAGAUUGUGUUAUAGCAGCUUGAAUAAUGUGAGC
This 1674-nucleotide long non-coding RNA is filed under the name Citrus sinensis (sweet orange). RNAcentral's name for it is "long non-coding RNA (CSIN_LNC004938)". Lineage: Eukaryota; Viridiplantae; Streptophyta; Magnoliopsida; Sapindales; Rutaceae. The record is from RNAcentral.